This is a small nuclear RNA of Ictidomys tridecemlineatus (thirteen-lined ground squirrel), 142 nucleotides long. Its record names the gene U4. It matches the Rfam family "U4 spliceosomal RNA". From Rfam's summary of the family: U4 small nuclear RNA (U4 snRNA) is a component of the major U2-dependent spliceosome. The record is from Ensembl. Lineage: Eukaryota; Metazoa; Chordata; Mammalia; Rodentia; Sciuridae.
AGCUUUGCGCAGUGGCAGUACCGUAGCCAAUGAGGUUUAUCCGAGGCGCGAUUAUUGCUAAUUGAAAGUGAUGUUGUCCAAGAUGAAAUGUGGAUAUGGAGUCAUCUUUUUUCCCCCUAUGUUUUAAACCGUAGUACUUAAC